RNAcentral lists this ribosomal RNA (250 nucleotides) under uncultured bacterium. RNAcentral's name for it is "partial 16S ribosomal RNA". It matches the Rfam family "Bacterial small subunit ribosomal RNA", at positions 524 to 773 of the family's 1533-position model. The record is from RNAcentral.
UACGGAGGGUGCAAGCGUUAUCCGGAUUUACUGGGUUUAAAGGGUGUGUAGGCGGGCUGUUAAGUCAGUGGUGAAAUCUCCGGGCUCAACCCGGAAACUGCCAUUGAUACUAAUAGUCUUGAAUAUUGUUGAGGUAGGCGGAAUAAGUCAUGUAGCGGUGAAAUGCAUAGAUAUGACUUAGAACACCGAUUGCGAAGGCAGCUUACUAAGCAAUGAUUGACGCUGAGGCACGAAAGCGUGGGGAGCAAAC